GGAGAGGUGCCCGGAGUGGUUGAUCGGGGACCAGCGAAAGGUCGGGCCCCCGCGGGGCCCACGCAGGUUCGAAUCCUGCCCUCUCCG
This 87-nucleotide transfer RNA is filed under the name Streptomyces avermitilis MA-4680 = NBRC 14893. RNAcentral describes it as "tRNA-Ser (CGA) (tRNA-Ser-CGA-2-1)". It matches the Rfam family "tRNA". Rfam says of the family: Transfer RNA (tRNA) molecules are approximately 80 nucleotides in length. Their secondary structure includes four short double-helical elements and three loops (D, anti-codon, and T loops). Further hydrogen bonds mediate the characteristic L-shaped molecular structure. tRNAs have two regions of fundamental functional importance: the anti-codon, which is responsible for specific mRNA codon recognition, and the 3' end, to which the tRNAs corresponding amino acid is attached (by aminoacyl-tRNA synthetases). tRNAs cope with the degeneracy of the genetic code in two manners: having more than one tRNA (with a specific anti-codon) for a particular amino acid; and 'wobble' base-pairing, i.e. permitting non-standard base-pairing at the 3rd anti-codon position. The record is from RNAcentral. RNAcentral also lists the same sequence under 1 other name. Lineage: Bacteria; Bacillati; Actinomycetota; Actinomycetes; Kitasatosporales; Streptomycetaceae.